GGCCUGGCUGGCCGGUCCGCCUCACCGCGUGUACUGGUCUGGCCGGGCCUUUCCUUCUGGAGAACCUCAUGCCCUUCAUUGGGUGUGUUGGGGAACCAGGACUUUUACUUUGAAAAAAUUAGAGUGUUUAAAACAGGCGUUUGCUUGAAUACAUUAGCAUGGAAUAACGGAAUAGGACUU
RNAcentral lists this ribosomal RNA (180 nucleotides) under uncultured Glomeromycotina. Its description in RNAcentral is "partial small subunit ribosomal RNA". The stretch from base 88 to 180 matches the Rfam family "Eukaryotic small subunit ribosomal RNA", at positions 735 to 830 of the family's 1831-position model. Lineage: Eukaryota; Fungi; Glomeromycota. The record is from RNAcentral.